This 253-nucleotide ribosomal RNA is filed under the name uncultured bacterium. RNAcentral describes it as "partial 16S ribosomal RNA". It matches the Rfam family "Bacterial small subunit ribosomal RNA", at positions 524 to 776 of the family's 1533-position model. The record is from RNAcentral.
GACGAACCGAGCGAACGUUAUUCGGAAUCACUGGGCUUAAAGGGUGCGUAGGCGGGCCCGUCAGUCAGGGGUGAAAUCCCACGGCCCAACCGUGGAAGUGCCUCUGAUACUGCGGGCCUGGAGGGGGAUAGGGGCGUGCGGAACUUCCGGUGGAGCGGUGAAAUGCGUAGAUAUCGGAAGGAACACCGGUGGCGAAAGCGGCGCGCUGGAUCCCUACUGACGCUGAGGGACGAAAGCUAGGGGAGCGAAAGGG